CCUGGCUCAGGUCGAACGCUGGCGGCGCGCCUAACACAUGCAAGUCGAACGAGAGAUGAGGAGCUUGCUCUUCAAAUCGAGUGGCGAACGGGUGAGUAACGCGUGAGGAACCUGCCUCAAAGAGGGGGACAACAGUUGGAAACGACUGCUAAUACCGCAUAAGCCCACGGCUCGGCAUCGAGCAGAGGGAAAAGGAGCGAUCCGCUUUGAGAUGGCCUCGCGUCCGAUUAGCUAGUUGGUGAGGUAACGGCCCACCAAGGCGACGAUCGGUAGCCGGACUGAGAGGUUGAACGGCCACAUUGGGACUGAGACACGGCCCAGACUCCUACGGGAGGCAGCAGUGGGGAAUAUUGCACAAUGGGGGAAACCCUGAUGCAGCGACGCCGCGUGGAGGAAGAAGGUCUUCGGAUUGUAAACUCCUGUUGUUGAGGAAGAUAAUGACGGUACUCAACAAGGAAGUGACGGCUAACUACGUGCCAGCAGCCGCGGUAAAACGUAGGUCACAAGCGUUGUCCGGAAUUACUGGGUGUAAAGGGAGCGCAGGCGGGAGAACAAGUUGGAAGUGAAAUCCAUGGGCUCAACCCAUGAACUGCUUUCAAAACUGUUUUUCUUGAGUAGUGCAGAGGUAGGCGGAAUUCCCGGUGUAGCGGUGGAAUGCGUAGAUAUCGGGAGGAACACCAGUGGCGAAGGCGGCCUACUGGGCACCAACUGACGCUGAGGCUCGAAAGUGUGGGUAGCAAACAGGAUUAGAUACCCUGGUAGUCCACACCGUAAACGAUGAUUACUAGGUGUUGGAGGAUUGACCCCUUCAGUGCCGCAGUUAACACAAUAAGUAAUCCACCUGGGGAGUACGACCGCAAGGUUGAAACUCAAAGGAAUUGACGGGGGCCCGCACAAGCAGUGGAGUAUGUGGUUUAAUUCGACGCAACGCGAAGAACCUUACCAAGUCUUGACAUCCCUUGACGAUGCUGGAAACAGUAUUUCUCUUCGGAGCAAGGAGACAGGUGGUGCAUGGUUGUCGUCAGCUCGUGUCGUGAGAUGUUGGGUUAAGUCCCGCAACGAGCGCAACCCUUAUGGUCAGUUACUACGCAAGAGGACUCUGGCCAGACUGCCGUUGACAAAACGGAGGAAGGUGGGGAUGACGUCAAAUCAUCAUGCCCUUUAUGACUUGGGCUACACACGUACUACAAUGGCGUUAAACAAAGAGAAGCAAGACCGCGAGGUGGAGCAAAACUCAGAAACAACGUCCCAGUUCGGACUGCAGGCUGCAACUCGCCUGCACGAAGUCGGAAUUGCUAGUAAUCGUGGAUCAGCAUGCCACGGUGAAUACGUUCCCGGGCCUUGUACACACCG
This 1353-nucleotide ribosomal RNA is filed under the name uncultured bacterium. RNAcentral's name for it is "bacterial SSU rRNA". It matches the Rfam family "Bacterial small subunit ribosomal RNA", at positions 18 to 1392 of the family's 1533-position model. The record is from RNAcentral.